This 841-nucleotide long non-coding RNA is filed under the name Nicotiana benthamiana. RNAcentral describes it as "long non-coding RNA (NBEN_LNC016432)". The record is from RNAcentral. Lineage: Eukaryota; Viridiplantae; Streptophyta; Magnoliopsida; Solanales; Solanaceae.
AAUUUUCUCUAAACCGGUACAAACCGUGAUUUUUCUUUUGGACUUGUCAAAAAAGAUUUUGCUUUUUUCCUAAUUCCUACUAAUGAACUGAUAGUAUUUUGUGAAAACCUGGAAACAUUCUGAAUUUGAAGCUUUUAGAUUUCAAGUGCUCCAUGCAAUUGCUGCUUUAAAGGUGUCUUUUUUUAUUACUUUCAUUGAGUUCAAGCUCACUAUUUUCUCUAUCUUCUUCAAGAUUUCCUCGUCUGAGGUGGCUUACUUCUCAACAGAGAAGUACAGAGUUCAGACUUGCUUCCGAGAAAUAGAAAAUCCUUCUCUUCCCCUCCCCCCUCCCACCAGUAAACCCUGUUUUUGGUACAUAGGAGGAAAACGUAUCUGUUAGAUGACAUUGAUUUUGUCUUGUUACAGUAUUAUUUUUCCUAUGCCUUCCAUGCCAAGCUCUGAGAUUCACGCGUCGAAUGUAUUUAGUUUUAACUGUAUUGGCUCUUUCACUCCAAUAUAUUUGAUGAAGGAUGUGUAUGAUUUUGCCCUAGCAUUGAUGUUAUCUCAUUCCUUGCAGCUGAACUUUUUGUCAAUGGAGAGAUAGUUCAGAGAUCACCUGAACGACAGAGGAGAGUAGAGCCUGUCCCUCAGCGUAACGACAGAAUAAGACCCAAUAGGUACAACAGGCGCAGAGAUAACAUAUGAAAGAGAUCACCUGAACGACAGAGGAGAGUAGAGCCUGUCCCUCAGCGUAACGACAGAAUAAGACCCAAUAGGUACAACAGGCGCAGAGAUAACAUGCGAUGAAUUAUAUACAAUGUAAGGAAGGUUCAGGCGGGUUGGAGUUGUAAGCACGGUUCUG